UACGUAGGGGGCAAGCGUUGUCCGGAAUCAUUGGGCGUAAAGAGCGCGUAGGCGGCCCUGUAAGUCCGCUGUGAAAGUCAAGGGCUCAACCCUUGAAUGCCGGUGGAUACUGCAGGGCUAGAGUCCGGAAGAGGAGAAUGGAAUUCCUGGUGUAGCGGUGAAAUGCGCAGAUAUCAGGAAGAACACCCGUGGCGAAGGCGGUUCUCUGGGACGGUACUGACGCUGAGACGCGAAAGCGUGGGGAGCGAACAGG
This 253-nucleotide ribosomal RNA is filed under the name uncultured bacterium. Its description in RNAcentral is "partial 16S ribosomal RNA". It matches the Rfam family "Bacterial small subunit ribosomal RNA", at positions 524 to 776 of the family's 1533-position model. The record is from RNAcentral.